UACAGAGGUCCCAAGCGUUGUUCGGAUUCAUUGGGCGUAAAGCGCACGUAGGCGGAUACUUAAGUCAGGGGUGAAAUCCCGAGGCUCAACCUCGGAACUGCCUUUGAUACUGGGUAUCUCGAGUCCGGAAGAGGUGAGUGGAAUUCCGAGUGUAGAGGUGAAAUUCGUAGAUAUUCGGAGGAACACCAGUGGCGAAGGCGGCUCACUGGUCCGGUACUGACGCUGAGGUGCGAAAGCGUGGGGAGCAAACAGG
This 253-nucleotide ribosomal RNA is filed under the name uncultured bacterium. RNAcentral's name for it is "partial 16S ribosomal RNA". It matches the Rfam family "Bacterial small subunit ribosomal RNA", at positions 524 to 776 of the family's 1533-position model. The record is from RNAcentral.